GCACCUGUAGCUCAGUUGGUAGAGCAUGGUGUUUGCAACGCCAGGGUUGUGGGUUCGAUUCCCACGGGGGGCC
RNAcentral lists this transfer RNA (73 nucleotides) under Salmo salar (Atlantic salmon). It matches the Rfam family "tRNA". From Rfam's summary of the family: Transfer RNA (tRNA) molecules are approximately 80 nucleotides in length. Their secondary structure includes four short double-helical elements and three loops (D, anti-codon, and T loops). Further hydrogen bonds mediate the characteristic L-shaped molecular structure. tRNAs have two regions of fundamental functional importance: the anti-codon, which is responsible for specific mRNA codon recognition, and the 3' end, to which the tRNAs corresponding amino acid is attached (by aminoacyl-tRNA synthetases). tRNAs cope with the degeneracy of the genetic code in two manners: having more than one tRNA (with a specific anti-codon) for a particular amino acid; and 'wobble' base-pairing, i.e. permitting non-standard base-pairing at the 3rd anti-codon position. Lineage: Eukaryota; Metazoa; Chordata; Actinopteri; Salmoniformes; Salmonidae. The record is from Rfam by way of RNAcentral.